UGGGGAAUAUUGCACAAUGGGGGAAACCCUGAUGCAGCGACGCCGCGUGAGCGAAGAAGUAUUUCGGUAUGUAAAGCUCUAUCAGCAGGGAAGAUAAUGACGGUACCUGACUAAGAAGCUCCGGCUAAAUACGUGCCAGCAGCCGCGGUAAUACGUAUGGAGCAAGCGUUAUCCGGAUUUACUGGGUGUAAAGGGAGCGUAGACGGUUUGUCAAGUCUGAUGUGAAAUUCCAGGGCUUAACCCUGGACCUGCAUUGGAAACUGUCGAACUAGAGUGUCGGAGAGGUGAGUGGAAUUCCUAGUGUAGCGGUGAAAUGCGUAGAUAUUAGGAGGAACACCAGUGGCGAAGGCGGCUCACUGGACGAUAACUGACGUUGAGGCUCGAAAGCGUGGGGAGCAAACA
This 402-nucleotide ribosomal RNA is filed under the name uncultured bacterium. RNAcentral describes it as "bacterial SSU rRNA". It matches the Rfam family "Bacterial small subunit ribosomal RNA", at positions 355 to 774 of the family's 1533-position model. The record is from RNAcentral.